GAUUCAUAAAACCUUGAUAUCUGGGUGUUUUGUAUAUCCAUUUUUUUUCAUUCAACAAAAAUAUACUUCUUCAGCUUCUGUUAUGUUUUCAACAUUAACCAGAGUGCUGGGCUUACAGAGAAAAAUACACAAUUUCUUGCCCCCAUGAGCUGGACUCCAUGGGAAUAGAAGAUAGAAAGUUACAUUGCAUUACUGUGCCUGGAGCAGGAAGAGCUGAGAGCUGGAGAGAAAACAGCACAGUCAAGUAGAAUAAUAGAGGGAAGAUGAACAAUGAACAGACUAUUUAGAAAGUGCCUCUAAUUGACCAAAACUAGCCAUCAGUGAGAGCAAGGGAGCCCAGUUUAUGCAGUCCUUAAAGAUCCUUCCCAGAGGUACAGAGCAGGGUGGAUGGAGAAGAGGGACAAUGAAUCUAGAAUGUCCAGCAUAGUGA
Molecule: long non-coding RNA, 430 nt
Organism: Herpailurus yagouaroundi (jaguarundi)
Lineage: Eukaryota; Metazoa; Chordata; Mammalia; Carnivora; Felidae
Exons: 3
Source: RefSeq, a predicted model, not a curated record